CCUACGGGAGGCAGCAGUGGGGGAUAUUGCACAAUGGGGGAAACACUGAUGCAGCGACGCCGCGUGGGGGAAGAAGGGCCUCGGCGCGUAAAGCCCUGUCAGCAGGGAAGAAAAUGACGGUACCUGAAGAAGAAGCCCCGGCUAACUACGUGCCAGCAGCCGUGGCAAUACGCAGGGGGCAAGCGUUAUCCGGAUUUACUGGGCGUAAAGGGGGCGCAGUCGGCGUUGCAAGUCAGGAGGGAAAGCCCGGCGUCCAACCCCGGGACCGUUCUUGAAACUGCGUGGCUAGAGUGCAGGAGGGGCAGGCGGAAUGCCUGGUGUAGCGGUGAAAUGCGUAGAUAUCAGGAGGAACACCGGUGGCGAAGGCGGCCUGCUGGACUGCAACUGACGUUGAGGCCCGAAAGCGUGGGGAGCAAACAGGAUUAGAUACCCCAGUAGUC
Molecule: ribosomal RNA, 440 nt
Filed under: uncultured bacterium
Lineage: Bacteria
Description: partial 16S ribosomal RNA
Rfam family: Bacterial small subunit ribosomal RNA
Source: RNAcentral